Molecule: ribosomal RNA, 492 nt
Filed under: uncultured bacterium
Lineage: Bacteria
Description: partial 16S ribosomal RNA
Rfam family: Bacterial small subunit ribosomal RNA
Source: RNAcentral
AGUGAACGCUGGCGGCAGGCCUAACACAUGCAAGUCGAACGGCAGGACAGUAAGAGUUUGCCCUUACGGGUGGCGAGGGGCGGACGGGUGAGGAAUAGAUCGGAAUCUACUUUUUCGGGGGGGAUAACGUAGGGAAAGUUACGCUAAUAGAGCAUAUGAUGAACGGGGGAAAGCAGGGGAGAUUGGGAGCUUGGGCGACUGAAUGAGCCGAUGCCGGAGUAGCUAGUUGGGGGGGUAAAGGCUCACCAUGGCAACGAUCCGUAGCCGACCGGAGAGGAGGGUCGGCGCCACUGGAACUGAGACACGGUCCAGACUCCUACGGGAGGCAGCAGUAGGGAAUCUUCGGCAAUGGGCGAAAGCCUGACGGAGCAACGCCGCGCGUGUGAUGAAGGUCUUCGGAUCGUAAAGCUCUGUUAUUAGGGAAGAACAACUGUGUAAGUAACUAUGCACGUCUUGACGGUACCGAAUCAGAAAGCCACGGCUAACUACGUG